GAUGAACGCUGGCGGCGUGCCUAACACAUGCAAGUCGAGCGAAAAGACGAUGCGCUUGCUGAUCCCACGUUAGGGGCGGGCGGGUGAGAAACACGUGGAUAACCACCCUGUAAGAGCGGGAAAAAUUCGGGAAUCCGGCGCUAAAACCGUAUAAGAUAUUGACACGCGUGGUUCAAUAGUGAGAGACGGUUUUGCUGUCAUUUGUCGAAGGAUCUGCGCCGCAUUAUCUAGUUGGUCAGGUAACGGGUUACCAAGGCGACGAGGCGUGGGCGACCUGUGAGGGGGGUCGGCCACACUGGAACGGAGACGCGGUCCAGACUCCUACGGUAGGGAGCAGUAGGGAAUGUUCCGCAGUGGGCGGAAGCCUGACGGAGCAACGCCGCGUGAGUUAUGAAGGUCUUCGGAUCGUAAAACUCUGUUAUUAGUGAAGAACAAAUGUGUAAGGUACUAUGCACUUCUUGACGGUACCUAAUCAGAAAGCCACGGCUAACUACGUG
RNAcentral lists this ribosomal RNA (497 nucleotides) under uncultured bacterium. Its description in RNAcentral is "partial 16S ribosomal RNA". It matches the Rfam family "Bacterial small subunit ribosomal RNA", at positions 28 to 507 of the family's 1533-position model. The record is from RNAcentral.